AUAUCGACAAAACAGGAUUGGCUCAAGAAAUCUGACACAUAGAUCUUGGUGGCAGGGACUGCAAGACGACUUUAGCCUGAAGAACUGGUUCAAACUGCUACUGUCGGAUCUCUCCAGUCAUUGGUUAGAACUGACGUUGGCCAGAAGAUGUCACCUGAGCUUUGCAAAAGGAGAGCUGUGUUAUGACUUCAGUCUCUUUGCUAUUAUGUAUUUGUUCAUAUGCUUCAGGUGCUCUUGAAAAAUGGAGAAAAAAAACCCACCAAUCACCUACACACAUCUUAAAAAAUUCUGUGGUUUAUUAGUACUUCUAACUUGUGAACUGGGUAAUCUGAGCAAAAGUUUGAUUAAUUCUUUGCCAAGACCAAGC
Molecule: long non-coding RNA, 367 nt
Organism: Grus americana (Whooping crane)
Lineage: Eukaryota; Metazoa; Chordata; Aves; Gruiformes; Gruidae
Exons: 3
Source: RefSeq, a predicted model, not a curated record